AAUCUUUUUUAAGUUACAGAUUCGUUCAAUAUAUUAAUUGAUUAUUAAUUGAGAUUUCAAUAGUGUUCGCAAGUUGAGUAAACAAAGUUGUAUUUGAGAGAUAUUUGCGAAAAUAAAAUUAUUGUCUAAACGUGUACCGCCGUGUUAUCUUGAAUUUUCGACUCUUAUUUUUGUGAUGUCCGUACAUCUCGUAUGUUUUAAGAAAAUUCAAUAUUAUAAUGUAUAAGAAGCUACGAAUUGAUGAAAUUCAAUACAGUAUAGUGAAGAUCGUAUCUUCUUAUCUUGUAUCGUUUCUUGUAAGUAACGAGCAAGUAAAAAAUCAUCAUUGCAUUAUCAUUAAGUUAAUCUACUACAACUUCAACCUAUUGCAUUUUCAAUCUACAUCAAUCUCUUUCAUUUCUGAUCUAUUGCAACGCAGAGGAGUGGUUUGAAAUCAUCGUGAAACUUCUUAAGUAAAACACCACUAGGUCUGAAAGAUGUAGACCAGCCAUUUUUAUAUCCUACCGGUAGAAUUGUGACAAGAAAAAAGAGGAAAAAUAUGAUGGAUCUGUUGAAAUGCAUUCCUCCUAUUAAACAUGAUUAUUGUAAAAACAUAAGGACAAAUCGACAUGACAGAACCUGAAAUACAACUGACGAAGAAGACAUCAUUUAUAUUACCGAUGAAUCAAUCUAAAUAGACUAAUAAUAAUAAUUGUAACGGUGACAGAACGUUAUUAUUUAUUUUUGCGACA
Vespula pensylvanica (western yellowjacket) is the source of this 731-nucleotide long non-coding RNA. RefSeq lists it as uncharacterized. NCBI's taxonomy places the organism in Eukaryota, Metazoa, Arthropoda, Insecta, Hymenoptera, Vespidae. The transcript has 4 exons. The record is from RefSeq and is a predicted model, not a curated record.